RNAcentral lists this unclassified non-coding RNA (357 nucleotides) under Hevea brasiliensis (rubber tree). The record is from RNAcentral. Lineage: Eukaryota; Viridiplantae; Streptophyta; Magnoliopsida; Malpighiales; Euphorbiaceae.
GGUUUUUGAAGGCCCCAUUACUCGUUACCCCAUUAUACAUAGGUAAAUUCUGAGUUGCAGAUGUGACAGCCAUUACCGCCGUUAUGUAAUGGUAACUGCCGUUAUUUACCGUUAAGUAAUGGUAACGGCCGUUACCUCAAUUAUGCAUGCGCCAAAAAUCACAUACACGUGCCUUUUUAAAUUUUUUUCCUUUUCAUUGUCCAGUUGCUCUAGUCUUUCAUUGUUGUUGUUUCUUUCAUGUUCUCUCAAAAGUUGACCCAAAAAUUUCUCCUUCUUCAGAUCUCUUCCUUAUUAUUUUCUAAAAUCAUCAUUAAAUACCUCUAUUCUCCAAAUCUACUUCUUGCAAAAGGUGAGUUA